This 484-nucleotide ribosomal RNA is filed under the name uncultured bacterium. RNAcentral describes it as "partial 16S ribosomal RNA". It matches the Rfam family "Bacterial small subunit ribosomal RNA", at positions 30 to 507 of the family's 1533-position model. The record is from RNAcentral.
AUUGAACGCUGGCGGCAGGCCUAACACAUGCAAGUCGAGCGGAUGAAGGGAGCUUGCUCCUGGCUUCAGCGGCCGACGGGUGAGUAAUGCCUAGGAAUCUGCCUGGUAGUGGGGAAUAACGUCAGGACACGGGCGCUAAUACCGCAUCCGUCAUGAGGGUGAACGUCGGGGAUCUUCGGACCUCACGCUAUCAGAUGAGCCUAGGUCGGAUUAGCUAGUUGGUGGGGUAAAGGCCUACCAAGGCGACGAUCCGUAACUGGUCUGAGAGGAUGAUCAGUCACACUGGAACUGAGACACGGUCCAGACUCCUACGGGAGGCAGCAGUGGGGAAUCUUGGACAAUGGGCGAAAGCCUGAUCCAGCAAUGCCGCGUGUGUGAAGAAGGUCUUCGGAUUGUAAAGCACUUUUAGUUGGGAGGAAGGGCAGUGAGUUUAUCCCUUGCUGUUUUGACGUUACCAACAGAAUAAGCACCGGCUAACUUCGUG